GGAGAGGUGGCGGAGUGGUCGAACGCGCCGGUCUCGAAAACCGGUAUACUCGCAAGGGUAUCGAGGGUUCGAAUCCCUCUCUCUCCGCCA
Molecule: transfer RNA, 90 nt
Filed under: Hyphomonas sp.
Lineage: Bacteria; Pseudomonadati; Pseudomonadota; Alphaproteobacteria; Hyphomonadales; Hyphomonadaceae
Description: tRNA-Ser
Rfam family: tRNA
About the family: Transfer RNA (tRNA) molecules are approximately 80 nucleotides in length.
Source: RNAcentral